RNAcentral lists this long non-coding RNA (396 nucleotides) under Trifolium pratense (red clover). RNAcentral describes it as "long non-coding RNA (TPRA_LNC006591)". The record is from RNAcentral. Lineage: Eukaryota; Viridiplantae; Streptophyta; Magnoliopsida; Fabales; Fabaceae.
UUCUACAUGUUCUUCUUCAUGGACAGAUGGACUCAUCAUGCAUUAGAAGGUCACUACACAACCUCUGUUUGUUCUCUGCCAUACAAUCUUCUUUCGCGUGUUCUUCUAUCCUCUCUAUUGUUUGCAAGAAGCUCUUCACCAUGAAAGUUCACCUUACAGCACUACCAGUUGUUCAAUGCAAAAAAAUGCAACCUUGCUUUAAAUCUGUUCAAAGUGGAUAGAUCUAGUGUAUAGCUACAAACCGUAUGAAUCCAUCCGAUAUAAACCGUAACCCGUUCAAACCGUACCUGUCAAAACCGAACACUAAAAUGGGUCGAAGUGGAUGUCGUAUCUCCAACCGAAGUUUGGGCCGGGUGGAGCUUUCGGGCCCGAACCCGUCCGACCCGGCCCGUUGUC